RNAcentral lists this ribosomal RNA (468 nucleotides) under uncultured bacterium. RNAcentral describes it as "partial 16S ribosomal RNA". It matches the Rfam family "Bacterial small subunit ribosomal RNA", at positions 28 to 507 of the family's 1533-position model. The record is from RNAcentral.
GACGAACGCUGGCGGCGUGCUUAACACAUGCAAGUCGAACGGAAAGGCCCUGCUGUUGUGGGGUGCUCGAAUGGCGAACGGGUGAGUAACACGUGAGUAACCUGCCCUUGACUGUGGGAUAACUUCAGGAAACUGGGGCUAAUAACGGAUAGGAGCUCCUGCUGAAUGGUGGGGGUUGGAAAGUUUCGGCGGUUGGGGAUGGACGCGCGGCUUAUCAGCUUGUUGGUGGGGUAGUGGCUUACCAAGGCUUUGGCGGGUAUCCGGCCUGAGAGGGUGACCGGCCACAUUGGGACUGAGAUACGGACCAGACUGCUACGGGAGGCAGCAGUGGGGAACAUUGUACAAUGGGCGGAAGCCUGAUGAAGCAACGCCGCGUGCGGGAUGAAGGCCUUCGGGUUGUAAACCGCUUUCGCCUGUGACGAGGCGUGAGUGACGGUAAUGGGUAAAGAAGCACCGGCUAACUACGUG